CCCGCUGAACUUAAGCAUAUCAAUAAGCGGAGGAAAAGAAACCAACAGGGAUUGCCUCAGUAACGGCGAGUGAAGCGGCAACAGCUCAAAUUUGAAAUCUGGCUCUUUCAGGGUCCGAGUUGUAAUUUGUAGAGGAUGCUUCGGCGUGGGCUCCGGUCUAAGUUCCUUGGAACAGGACGUCACAGAGGGUGAGAAUCCCGUAUGUGAUCGGUUGCCUUUGCCAUGUGAAGCUCCUUCGACGAGUCGAGUUGUUUGGGAAUGCAGCUCUAAAUGGGAGGUAAAUUUCUUCUAAAGCUAAAUACUGGCCAGAGACCGAUAGCGCACAAGUAGAGUGAUCGAAAGAUGAAAAGCACUUUGGAAAGAGAGUCAAAAAGUACGUGAAAUUGUUGAAAGGGAAGCGCUUGCAACCAGACCUGCCUGCAGUUGCUCAUCCGGGCUUUUGCCCGGUGCACUCUUCUGCUGUCAGGCCAGCAUCGGUUCGGGCGGUCGGAUAAAGGCUUCGGGAAUGUAUCUACCCACGGGUAGACUUAUAGACCAGGGUGUCAUGCGGCCUCUCGGGACCGAGGAACGCGCUUCGGCUCGGAUGUUGGCGUAAUGGUUGUCAGCGACCCGUCUUGAAACACGG
Molecule: ribosomal RNA, 625 nt
Filed under: uncultured fungus
Lineage: Eukaryota; Fungi
Description: eukaryotic LSU rRNA
Rfam family: Eukaryotic large subunit ribosomal RNA
Source: RNAcentral